UACAUUUUGGUGUAUGGUGCACAAGAAUUUUUGAUAUUCUAAGAAAUAGUUUAAAUCUAUUAAAUGUAG
Molecule: transfer RNA, 69 nt
Filed under: Symploce tubercularis
Lineage: Eukaryota; Metazoa; Arthropoda; Insecta; Blattodea; Blattellidae
Description: tRNA-Gln
Source: RNAcentral